Molecule: ribosomal RNA, 363 nt
Filed under: unidentified bacterium PIA-6
Lineage: Bacteria
Description: bacterial SSU rRNA
Rfam family: Bacterial small subunit ribosomal RNA
Source: RNAcentral
AUAACGUUCGGAAACGGACGCUAAUACCGCAUACGUCCUACGGGAGAAAGCAGGGGACCUUCGGGCCUUGCGCUAUCAGAUGAGCCUAGGUCGGAUUAGCUAGUUGGUGAGGUAAUGGCUCACCAAGGCGACGAUCCGUAACUGGUCUGAGAGGAUGAUCAGUCACACUGGAACUGAGACACGGUCCAGACUCCUACGGGAGGCAGCAGUGGGGAAUAUUGGACAAUGGGCGAAAGCCUGAUCCAGCCAUGCCGCGUGUGUGAAGAAGGUCUUCGGAUUGUAAAGCACUUUAAGUUGGGAGGAAGGGCAGUAAAUUAAUACUUUGCUGUUUUGACGUUACCGACAGAAUAAGCACCGGCUAAC